GAGAGGGCUGGAGUAGGAGCUUUCCAUGAAGCUGAAGGAAGGGAUGGUGGAUGGGGCAGGAGCUUUCCACAUUGCUGGUGAGGGCUGUGCAAGAAGAGACUCUGCUCUUCCUCAAGGACUUAGUCCUGUCCUUUCUCAGCAGCUGAACUUCUGCUGUUUGCUGUAGCUGGGUUCCUAAGCCAGGCUGGGGUUUGCAUGCAGAAACUGAGAGUAGUGCUGAAAUGAGGUGGAAAUGAGAAUGAAAUUUAGCUACUGAGAGCUGUUGUUUUGUUAGUAUGAAAGAGAUCUGCACCAGCAGUGCCUGUGGGAGCUACCUGGACUCCUCUCUGAUGCUUGGUAAACCCAAGCCUUCUAGCAGGGAUGGUUUGUGGUGGAGCAGCUGUUGCAAGUGUCAGCCACCAGCAAAGCUCUUCACGUUGUGUGGAUUGGUUGUAGAGAGGCAGCUCCCUGGAGUGCUGCAGCACUCGACUGCUCAGCCUUAACUGACAUUUCAGCUCAGUGGCACUGGCUGUGGAGCUGGUAGCACCUGGGGUCCUGUUUUAGUGCGUUUUAACUCACUUAAAGAGAAGCUGCAGUAUCUGAGCAGGUGCAGAAGAGCUGCUAAGGGCAUGCUCUGCAGAUCUGAGAAGCUCAGUAAUGGCUGGGCAAAAGAUGUUUUUGAUGACUGAUUUGGAUCCUGGGGAGACUGCAGAACUCAAACCCCAUCUGAGCUUCUGGGAGUUGCAUUGUACACUGGUGCUGAGCUGCCAAGCUGGUGGUGCAGGAUCCACGUCCCCUGCGUUGGGGUGGGUGCUGCAGUGGGAAGCUCUGGUCGUGGCCCUGUGGUCUGGGAAGGUGGUAAAGGCAGCUUCUCAUCCAGGAUUAGCAUUCCCCAAGCCUUCAGCAGCUCUGCACUCAGAAACUACAGCUUGGUUUCAGUGAAUGGUGGCAAGUGACCCUUCUGCCUGCAAUGUGCUGUCAGCAGAGCCCAAGCAGAGAGUGUUGAUGAGAAGACUCUGGGAAGACCUAAUAGCACCUGAAGGGAGCUACAAGAAGGCUGCAGUGGGACUGUUUGGGAAGACCUAAUAGCACCUGAAGGGAGCUAUGAGAAGGCUGCAGUGGGACUGUUUGGGAAGACCUAAUAGCACCUGAAGGGAGCUACAAGAAGGCUGCAGUGGGAUUGUUUGGGAAGACCUAAUAGCACCUGAAGGGAGCUACAAGAAGGCUGCAGUGGGACUGUUUGGGAAGACCUAAUAGCACCUGAAGGGAGCUACAAGAAGGCUG
Pogoniulus pusillus (Red-fronted tinkerbird) is the source of this 1263-nucleotide long non-coding RNA. RefSeq lists it as uncharacterized. NCBI's taxonomy places the organism in Eukaryota, Metazoa, Chordata, Aves, Piciformes, Lybiidae. The record is from RefSeq and is a predicted model, not a curated record. The transcript is spliced from 3 exons.